RNAcentral lists this ribosomal RNA (468 nucleotides) under uncultured bacterium. RNAcentral describes it as "partial 16S ribosomal RNA". It matches the Rfam family "Bacterial small subunit ribosomal RNA", at positions 28 to 507 of the family's 1533-position model. The record is from RNAcentral.
GACGAACGCUGGCGGCGUGCUUAACACAUGCAAGUCGAACGGAAAGGCCCUGCUUUUGGGGGGUGCUCGAGUGGCGAACGGGUGAGUAACACGUGAGUAACCUGCCCUUGACUUUGGGAUAACUUCAGGAAACUGGGGCUAAUACCGGAUAGGAGCUCCUGCUGCAUGGUGGGGGUUGGAAAGUUUCGGCGGUUGGGGGUGGACUCGCGGCUUAUCAGCUUGUUGGUGGGGUAGUGGCUUACCAAGGCUUUGACGGGUAGCCGGCCUGAGAGGGUGACCGGCCACAUUGGGACUGAGAUACGGCCCAGACUCCUACGGGAGGCAGCAGUGGGGAAUAUUGCACAAUGGGCGGAAGCCUGAUGCAGCAACGCCGCGUGCGGGAUGACGGCCUUCGUGUUGUAAACCGCUUUCGCCUGUGACGAAGCGUGAGUGACGGUAAUGGGUAAAGAAGCACCGGCUAACUACGUG